Molecule: long non-coding RNA, 2183 nt
Organism: Macadamia integrifolia
Lineage: Eukaryota; Viridiplantae; Streptophyta; Magnoliopsida; Proteales; Proteaceae
Exons: 2
Source: RefSeq, a predicted model, not a curated record
CUUUAAACCAUGCUUGCAUGUCAAUGUGGGGCUGAAAUGGUUGAAUAUUUUUGGAUUAUUUACAGCGCCACCCGCUAAAGAAUGCCAGUAUUAUAGGAACACCCCCUCUCUUUCACCAAAUUAGACUCAGACCCCCUACCGUCAGUCAUUGUUACAGAAUAUACCAAAAAUACUGACAUCAGCAGUCCAUUUCUUUCUAAAUACCAUUUUGCCCUAUUAAAUAUGAAGUACCUAAAAUACCUUUAUAAUAAGUUACUAUUUAUUUCAUCCAAAUCGAUUUGCUUCCCAUUCCAAUUCCAAGACCUAAUUUACCUAUCCACCGACGGUCGUUCAACGCAGCGGCGGUGGCAUCGACGACGCAGGACCUCACGACGAACACCUAUCCUCCGGAAACCACUCCUCUCCUGCGACUUGCAAGCCAUCCACCACCUCCAUCAGCACUACCUAAAAACCAAGAUGGACUUUUUCUUGUUCCACUCCUUGCCGGGAUUUGGAGAGUCUUGGUGGUUGUUGGAGCGUACGUCCCCAUUAUAGUUGCAGAGCUGGUAACAAAUUGAGGAAAGAGAAGGAUCAGAGUUGGAGCCUUCAGGUUUGGAGGAGGUCGAAGGUCGUUUAAAAUUGGUAUAAUACCCUAAAAUAAAACAAUUCAUGUCCACUUCCUUGUGAGGGGCAAGGCCGUUUAUCGUUUCUGUUGCUGGAGUGAAGUCACAAAAGCUUUCUCCCAUUUAAUAAGUGCAUUAGCCCAUUAUUUAUGACCUAAUUGUUGUUUGAUUCCUACAAGUAAGUUGGAUAAUUGCUUUUCUUCAUAUUUCCUACCGAUUCUUCUCUCUUUCUAUACUAUGCCAUUUCUGUUUAAUCCUUCUCAGCGUGGAGUGCAUCUUACCCCCUUUCGUUGAAGGAAACUUCAUUAACCCCUUUUCAAUGAAAAGAAAUUUCACAGUAUCAGAUUCUCACACACCUAACCCCAAAUCAAACAAAGAAUUUUAAGAAGCACCAGAGGAUAUGCACGGUAGGUUCGUGAUAUUAUCCACUCCAUAACCACCAAGAAAAUGGAGGGAAAGCCAAAGCCAUUCUCAAAAAGAGGGUUGUGUAAGAGAUGGAGCUUAUCGUGAGGGAGCUGUAGAUGGUGGGGAUAGGUGGAACUGGUGGGGUGAAGGAGUUGCCAACAGUGGCUCUCUGUCUGCGUCUCUCUCUCCCUCCCCCCGAGUUUCUCUGCGCUUGUGUCUUGGUGAAGGUGAGAAGGGUAAAAUGAGUUUCAGUGAAAAGGGUAUAACAGUCAUUUUAACUCUUGACUUAACAGUGACUGACGGUAGGGGGUCUGAGUCUAAUUUGAUGAAACAAAAUGGGUGUUCUUAUAAUUAUGGCAUUCUCCAGGGGGUGGCACUGUAAAUUACCCAAUAUUUUAAGGAAAGAGGAGAUAAAGGAUUCAUUCUUAUCUUGAACAAAGGAUAGUUUUCCUGUGUGUUGCUGAUUAAGAAUAUAAGAUCGUUUCUUAGUUAUCUAGGCUUAAACACAUCCAAUGCCCCUUUCAUUUGGAACAUGUUGCCUCGCUGUUAUCGUAUACCCACUCAUGAAUGAAAAUGUGCAUGUGUGCAUGUUUAUUUUUUCUGCUGCACUCCAUUCUGAUGUAACUCCAUGAGAUUGAUAGUGUUUGAUCGUGUGUGUGAAUUUGCAAGUAUUCACGUGCACAUUAAGUGUGUGCAUGUUGUUCUAUUGCAAAUGAAUCUGACAACUCAGCAAAGAUUGAUGGUGUUAUAGUUCGCUUAUUUGCCAUGUGAAUAGUCAUGGAUUGUCUAAUAAUACUUAUCCAUGGAUAUAGUGGUUUCUUGUCCAUUCAGGUCUUGCUCUUUGUUUCUGUGAUUAAAAUAUGCAGCUUUAUUUCUCCUUUGACUUUAUUUAUCUUGUCUACAGAUACUGAAGGUGGAAAUUUUCGUAAUGAUGUGUCUGAAUCAUUUGAGAAUAGGAAGGCGAUGUUAGCAGCUGUUCCAAGCUACGAGGAGCCAUACAUCAAAGUUCCCAGGGUUUUGAACAAGGAGUGAUGUUGUUUGGGUAACUAAUUCUCUGUAUUUGUCCCUUCUCAAGUAUGUUUCCCCCAAUCAAAAUAUUUUCUAUCUGAAUUUUUCUCCGUCUCAAUAAGAUAAUCUUCCCCUUGAUAAUCAUUAAUAGAUAUAUCUUGUUUGAUA